This is an RNA transcript of Betta splendens (Siamese fighting fish), 9202 nucleotides long. It is a transcript of the gene named Fas-activated serine/threonine kinase, with no coding region annotated. Lineage: Eukaryota; Metazoa; Chordata; Actinopteri; Anabantiformes; Osphronemidae. The record is from RefSeq and is a predicted model, not a curated record. The transcript has 13 exons.
GUAGCUGCGGCGCGGCUCUUCCGCCAGGUGCAUGCCGGGUAGAUCAUGAUGGCGUCUGCAGGCUGUGUGGAGGAAUGAAGUGGCUGACCGCUGACUGAUUGCCCGGUGAACCCGCACUCUGCCGAACUGCCCGAACUGCCGGUCUUACUGAACUAUGAGGAUUGCUGUGCUGUUGCCCCCAAACGUCCUGGCUGUUGAACUAUGCUGUGUUUUUCCACUGGGUGGCGCCUCCUGAGCCAAGCCCCCCGCCCCUUGGUCUCCAUGUAUGCCACCCGCAUCUACAGCACCGCGGGGGGAGGAAGUGGAGGAGGAGGCGGAGUUAAACAGGGGCGAAGGGCAGGGCUAGCCAUGCUUGAGGCUCCUCACCCCCACCUCCCACACCACCAACACCCAGCUCCCCCUCCCCCCACAUAUCCAGUGUAUCAGGGCCGCCCUGAUGCCCCCCGAGGAACUCACUUCCACCACCAUUAUCACCCCCAUCCCCACCCACAGCCUGCACACCUGGCCCCAGCCCCAUUGCCCCCUCCCUACCAGCAUCACUUUCACACAUACACCGGGGGGACUAUGGCUGGGGGCAGCAGGAAGAAGACAUGGAACUUUAUCCACGAGAAGAUGAGCUACGACACAUUUUUCACCAUGAAGCGUUUGAUCGAGCGUUCACGGCGGCCCGAUGAGGUCCUGCGUUGGGUCACACAGAACCCUGCUAAGAUCUCUCACAACCACUACCCUGUCGCCCUUCAGAAGAUUGGCCAGCUGCUGCAGGCUGCACUACCCCCACGGCCACAGGGUGACAACCCUGAGCCUGCAGAAGGAAUGGCUGGACGUCAAAUCCUGGAGCAUCAGGACUUCCACACACUCUGCAGUGCCAUCAUCAGCGACUGCGCCAAGUUUGACAACUUCAGCAUUGUCAACUGCCUGUAUGCUGUGGCUGCUCUUGGUCUUCCCAGUGACUCUCAGGUGGUCCAGGUGUUGGAGGCAGAGUCCCAGUCAAGACUAAACCAGUUUAACCAGAAGGAUGUCUCCAUGGUGUUCAGCUCUAGCAUGAAGCUGCAUCCAGGCAGCCAGCACCCUCUGACUGAGGCCUGCCUGGCUGGACUAGAAAAGAACCUGGAGAGGGAACGCCACCCACAGACAUUGUUCCUGCUGCUGUCAUACUAUCGACUGAAGUGGCACUCGCUGCAGGACGCAGGAGCGGCUGCAUCCUCCACUAACAGCAAUAUCAACAACCCCCCCAACCCUGAACAGCUGCUUACCAACAGAAAAAUCCUGCGUGUGGUCAAACACACUCUGGCGAGUGUCAGUGGGGUCCGUGACCAAGAGAUGGCACUGCUCGAUGAGAUGCUGUCAGCAUGCACUCGGGAAGCGAGUAACAAGAGUCUGGAGUUGAUCUUCAGCUCCCACCUGUUCUUCCAGAACCGCCAGGAGAGGUUCAUCAGCAGCCUGGCAGAUGAGCUGCCGAAGAAGGUGGACAGCAUCACUCCUUACACCAUGGCUCUUAUUGCCAAAUACAUUGCUCGCCACCGGCUGAGGGAGACCCAGCUGCUUGAAACUAUUGCAGACUUCUUGGUGAAGAAGGCAGAGUACCUAGACAGCAAGGUGAUCCAGAAGCUGGUGUUCCCGUUUAGCAGGAUGAGUUACCGUCCAUCUAAUGAGAAGCAGUUCUUUUCUCGACUGGAGGAGGUGGUGGAGCUGAAGGCGCUCAGCUCGCCUCUUGCCACUGUCAACAUUCUCAUGUCCCUCUUCCAGCUGGGACACUUCCCCGGCCUAGUGCUGCACCGUGUCUUCUCCUCAGCCUUCAUCAGCAACGUCACCAACAGUCCACACACUCUGAUCGUCCGGAGGUAUCUCUCUCUGCUGGACGCUGCUGUAGAGCUGGAGUACAGAGAGUACACUGGACCGCGACUGCAGGACGCCCACAAGGUCCUCAUGUUUGACCGCGCUCUGACAGCUGAUGAGGUUAAUCGCAAAUAUAGUUAUAAAGGUCUGGUGGCUGAGGCAUUACGUCAGCUGGUUGGAGAACACAACUAUAAACAGGAUGAAGUUCUGGCACCUGGAUACUACACAGACUUUGUACUGUGGCUGGAUAGUUCUGGUCGGGUUCUGCCUAUCAGGACAGGGGCAGGUCUGGGUCUGCGCGUCAUUGCUCCAUCCUGCGUUACCAUAGCGCCCAAACUGUCUGAUGGAGCAGUAGCUGUGGUUACUGCAGAGUUUCAGAAGUUUUCUCCAUUCACAGUGCUAGAGGAGGGCGCUGAGCAAGUGUGUCAGGUGAAUGAGGUGAUGGAGGCUCGGGCCUUCCUGCCCUGCCACAUCCGGAGCACUACAGGGACCACUGUGCCCUCAGGGCCCCCUCGAUCUGGGUCUAAUGGUGCUCCUUUGGACUAUGCCCAGUAUUAUGUCCCUACACCAGAGUACUACUCAACUCUAGCAAAGGAGCACUCUCUGGAGAGUCAGGACAGCUCAACUCUCAGCAGCCCACCCUCUGAUGCCCUGGCCCCAGUAGGGGCCCAGGGACCUCCAGGGGCUGCAGCCCCGGACUCACUCUUUCAGUUUUCUAUUGGGAAAAUACUGGAGGAUGAGGCAGCACCAGGUUCCUCGCCGGGGCAGGAGACGGACUGCGAGCUGCCCCGUUUCUAUGAGGGUGUUACAUAUUCAGAGGGAUCCGAGGCCGACAGAGCAACACCACAGCUGCGCUCUGCGGAUCGACAGGACCCUGACAACACCACAUCAGACCCGAGACUCAUUAAGAGGAUCAUAAUGUCAGUCAAUGACAAGUGGCAUUACUGCCACAACUCUGAGGUUCUGGUUGGGUCCCGGGCCAUGAGGGACCGACACCUAAGGCUUCUGGGAUAUGUCAUAAUUCAGCUCCCGUACCAUGAGUUGGAGAAGCUGAAUGGCAUCGAUGAGGUGAAGCAGUACCUGCAUAAAAAGCUGCUGGACGUCCCACUAUGAUGCUCUGUGUGCAUGUCUACACUCUGGGUGGGGUCAGAGAAACUAGAUUCAGCUCAAAGGAUAAAAAAAGGAGUCCACACUCACACUGGAGGUUUCUUGGGUUCUCCAUCGAACUUGGGCUUCCUCUGACCCUGAGCCGCUGGAGCUGGAGCCCUCAUGUCGGACAGCUCCCUCUGCAGGACGCCAGCAGUGCAGCAUAAAACAACAGAUCAGUAAAAGUGAGCGUCAUCACCCUGGUAAAGGAGGAUCUGGUAGAUUAGCAACUUUGUAUGAAAAUGUCUGUGUCACGCAAUCAGUUCAAAUGCUGUAGCCUCAGCAAAUGCUCACUGACCACAGCCUGGUACUGAACCUCGUAACGCUUCUGGUCUUCGGCCGCCUUCUUGAUCCAAGGAAUCUUCUCCUUCUUCUCCAUCGACUUCCAGGCAGCCUCCAUUGCCGCCUGGGCCUUCCUACGGUCACUCUGUCGUAUGAGCAACAUUGGGUGAAAGGUCGCAACAGCUUUCACAAUAAAAGCCUUCCAGAUGUUUCUGCUAAGCCUCUUAAUCAUUAGGGUAACUCACUCUGUAUUUAGCCAGAUAAUCUCCAAUCACGCUGUGUUGCCACAUCUCCUCGGCUGUUUUUGGUGUCUCUGGAAGCUUUGCCGUCUUUUUCCCAUCUCGUUUCUCCUUAUGUGAUCCCGCUGGUGGCCACGGCUCAGCCUCUGUGUCCCGACACCGCUCCUGCAAUAAUGUAAUCACGACAUCACUGACACAUUGAUCACAUGAAUUCAGCCAGUGGCGGCCACUGGUGACAGGAGGAAUCAGUCAGAAACAUGCAGACCAGCGCUGGGCUUAAACAAAAGCAGACCUUGAUGGACGGCGACUUGGCUCUGUGUGGACUAGAGGCCACGUUCACGCCCAGUUUGCCCCCCCCAAGCUUUUCUUCGCUCAGGACUCGGUCCCGUUCUUCUUCUGGGAGAGACUGGAUGAGAACAAGUCCAUUUGUUAAAGCACCUUUAGGCACAGGACCAGGAAGACAGUUGUUAUGAGUGGGUUUGGUCUGAGGUUCUCGUUUGAGAAGCCUGCGUUGAGCUAAACAUUUAAUUAGCUCCUUCUUCUUCAGCAGGAAUCAGCUCAUACCUCUAAGAAGCGCUGCAGGUCGAUGUCGUACUGCUUCUUUUUCUGAAAGCACACACAUCAGACAUGAAGUAACGCAGGUUCCUCCUCUGAUGAGUGGACGUGAACCUGUUAGUACCAACCUGCUCACAUCGUUUCUGAAACAUGUCUUUCUCCUUCUGCGUCAUCAUCUUCCACUGUUUACUGCAGAGCACCAUCCUCUCUGUGCUAGGGACGUCCUUCAUGUUCACCAUCAGCUCAGCGCAGUACAGUGAGUAGCCGUUACUAGGAGAGAAUACAGGCGUCAGACAGGUGCUCCCUCGCUCGCUGCUGCUGCUCCUUGCUUAGUCAGGACUCACGGUGGUGGUUUGGUCGGUCGUCCGUCAAACUUGUCUUUCAGCUGCCGCUCCGCUUUGGUGAGGACAGACCGCACGUGAUCGUCCGAGUUCACAUCUGGAUGAGCUUCGUGAUAUGCUCGCAUGCUGUCCUGCACACACACAAACACUCCUGACCUGAAGCCUGGUUCUAAAAAGAGCCUGGUCCAACUUCUGACAGUCUACAGGAUUAACUGGACUGGAUUGAUUCAAAGGAUUAGGAUCUGGUUUACUGGUACGUAUCAGAUGAACCUGAACCUUUUGGUUUAUUUCUUGAUUGGGUUCAGUCUGGUCUGGAGUGGUACCUCAUAGUCUUUUUGGAGUUCUAGGGCCUUGCUGAUCCAUUUGAGUCUCCUCUUGUCAGACAGCUGGGACCACUGCCUCCUCAGAGCCUCCUUCAGCUCCUUCUGACUCACCUGGAACAGACAGACAGGUCUGGAUGUUCCUCCCUGCGGGUUGACAGUCCAUUUAGAUGGUGGAUCAGGAAAAUCUGUCCCUUCAAUUGUUGUUAAACUCACUUGAAUCGAGUCAUGUUCUUCUCAAAUUCCUCUUUCUCUCGUUGAAACUCUGUGAUGUAUUUUUGCUAGAGGACACACAAAAAAAAGGUUGAGGCAGAAUGGUCAGUUUAUCCAAACUAAAAAGUAACUAUUAGUGUUUGUAUUGUUACACAUUAUGGACCAGACAAUAUAUAAUUAUUAUAAUUAAUAACCAUUAGUAAUAACUCUAAAUUUUAAUUAAAAUUGUGCCAAUAUUUAAAUAAUUUUAAGAGAUUUUAUUUUAUUAAAGGAUUAGAUUUAAUUAAAGUUUGCUUAGUGGAAUCUGUUGGGUUUUCUAUGUAGUACAAUUUCUGUCAGGUCUUAAAACUUCCUUUGACUUUUGUUGUGAAGUGGCACAAAAAAUUGAAUUCAAUUGUUAAUGUGCUUUUCUUAGGUUUAUGUUCGUUUUGUCUCUCUGAUCUGUGUUCUUCAUUUUAAAAACGUAUAUAUGAUAAAGGAUGAAAAAAAAGCAGAUCACUUGAAGCCAAAGUCUUUGUCUCCACGUUUUCUAGCGGUUUAAACACGACUGACCUUCUUCUUGUCUGGAAGCUCCUUGUACUUCUUGGACAGAAUCUUGGUCAGGUCCAGGUUACUCAUCUCUGGGUGGAUUUUGGCAUAUUUGGCUCUUUUUUCCAUAAAAAAGCGAAAGUACGGUGUCAAAGGUUUCUUAGGGAAAUCAGGGUGAGUCUGUUGGAACAGGUUAGAGGUCAGAGGUCACAGUCAACCUGUGUCCCAUACUGCAGAGCCUUGUUUCGCUCAUCUCACCUUCAGUUUUUUGCCUUUGUAGGGAUUCUUUACAAACUCAAUAGCAUCAACAAUGAGUUCUGUCAUGGUUCUAUACUUGCGGACCUAAAACAAGAACACACUGAGCUCUAACUAAUGUGCGUCAACUUUAGGGUGGUUCUGUUAUCUGGUCAUUCAAAUACAUAGAACACCAUACAGCAGUUAGAUGCUAAAAUAAGAGAACACCUGUAAAUACCUUAACGUUUUAAUAAGGGAAGAGCAGCUAAUAAACUUGUCAGCAGCUUAAAGUUGUUGAGCUCUUUAGGAGGUUAAAUGCAGGUAGAAUGGACCCAGAACAGAUCUGGGUCGUUUCUGGUACCUCAGACGAGACUUUCUGCCACUUCUGACGACACAUGUCACCGGUGAAGCUGCCAAAACAAACUUUCUCCCAGUCAAAGUGAGACUCUGUGGUCUUAUACUUCAUGGCGUCGCCAUCUGGCAGCAGUCCACGAAUCCUCUCCAACAGAGUCAGGCAAUCCUCCUUACUCCACUCAUCUGUGGAGAGACAGCGCAUCCGUGACUGAUCCCUGUUCACACACCAAUGCCUGCCAUACACAGGCUUCGUAAUAGUAGCUGUAUGUAAUGCUGUCACUUAUCACUGUCACAAUUAUUAAUGUUUAAUUAUGAUAGUUGCACUAUUUUAUUGUAUUACGUGUUUGUGUAAUAUAUAUGCAUAGGUGUAUGUAUAUGAAUGUAUUUAUGUACGAGUAUGCACACGCCUUAACAUUAAGCAAAUAACUGUUAAUUAUUUACCUAACUGCUAUCUUUGUGCCUAUUUUGUUGUUUUGCUUCACUGAUUUAUUUGAUUCCAGCAGUUGUUUGAUCAGGUUCAGUCUGGAUUGGUGUACACCCCCCACACACACACGGCCUAAUACAUACAAAAAGAAGCAUGUAUGCAUGCAUGUAGCCCUGAAAACCGAACUCUUUUUCUGUGUUACCUGGUGCACUCUUGAUCCUGGCACUCUGAGCAGCAGAAACGCUGCUGCCGCCGUUCAUCAUGCAGCACCUGACGGAAAAGGAUGCGCCCUCUCCCCCCGCUGAACGCAGAGCAAAAACAGAGUCAGAGUCAGACGCAGCGAUCUGUGCUUCAGUAACACAUUAGAGGUUUAUUAACUAGUGAUGUGCAUAUCAGAAAGGAUAAAAUAUAUUACAAAUCUGAACAGAAGAUUUAUAGCCUGUCUGAAGCCUGAUUUGAAGUUUAAACGGUGUCUGUGUCUUAUUAAAGUAUGCAGACAAAGCUGAAAAGUAUUUACAAUGGUCUUUCCAUUAAUUUUAAGGACCACAAUAGUUUUAAAAAACUCAAAUGAAAGCCUUAAAAGCGGCACAUUUUGAUGAAUAGUAUGUUUCUGUAGCUGGAUGUUUGCGGGAAAAGUCUACAAAUAUCAAUACUGUGAAUGCUUCAUGCAUCUUUACCAAAGCGAAUACUGUGAAGCAUUCAUAGUAUUUGAAUAGUGUGAAGCCAGGACUUGGUGCUGAUUCUGAGCUCGCCUGAAACCGAACCGACCGUUUCCAGGACAGCACUGGGAGGGCGGUAGAGAGCAGACUGGACCGCUGCAGUUCCACGUUUGAUCGGAUCAACUUUGGUUUGGUCCAUGUUUCUGUCCUGAAACCACAAAAAUCCUCCCACGUUUCUCGUGAACGUAGAUUUCGGUUAAAGGCCUGCCGUUCUUUGGGGUCGCGUCCGGUUCUGGAGCCACAGCUCGGAACCAACGCGUUUCCAUGGGAGUCUUAACGGGGUCGGUGACAACCGAAGGCAGCGGGCCGCCAGGCUGCAGCUGCCCGGUAAUGGCGCCCGUCCUCCGGCAGGAGUCCCCACGUAGCUUCCGCUGGCUCGAGUCGAGCUCGUCGUUUGGUUCAAGGCAGAAAAACGCGAAAAACACGGAAAACGCAAACGUGUUUUUUAAAAAAAAAGACUGCAGCAGCGAAAAGCCCGGCUGACACGUGUAACUAUACGAUCGCGUUAUUUAGAAAAACUAGUAAAAUACCAACAUUCGUCGACAUCGGUGCGUUUAGAUAUGAAAUUAAUGCGAUAAAGGGCGAAAGUUUCGCCCGAUGCGGGAAACAAACGCGCUCAACGUGAGCUACGUGCGGGUUUCGGUGCUGAGCGGGCUGGCGACUGGCUGCUGCCCCAGAAGCCUUCACUGCGAAGCCGCCAUGAAUUUUCUGGAGACUCGGGGACGAACGAGCAGAAAAGCACAGAAAUCUGGUCCAAAUCCCACCGUACGACUCACCGUGUGAUGGAGCCGCAGAGCCCGCUCGUCGCCGCACACCGCGGUGCUACUUCGGACGAUAUCGGGACUUUCAAAGUGUGCUUUUUUCAGGCGUAAACCCCGGGGAGUCAGGUCGAAACGAAUCCGACAAAAGGAGCGUCUAGUCCGGUAUGAAACUCCGCCCAGCGCCGCAGGGGGAGGAACUCCGGGGGAAAACAUGAGGACAAAGGCGGAGGAUGAAACCAGAGACAGCGGCGAAAACAGCAGCCGAGCCCGCGUACAGCCACCGUCGGUGCAGGACUCGAGCUUUUAAUUACCGCUGGCUCUUCCCUGGUCCGGGUCCAGAUGCUGUACCGGCGGGGCCCGGGGAUCCGACCGCCAUCCGGCGCCAGCGAUGUAGCGGCCGCUCCGAGGAGCAGAACCUAAGCGGGCAGAAGGUCGCCCGCUCCGCGGCAGCUCGCGACUCCUUCCCCGGCCCGUGCGGAGCGGAGCCGCCACCAGAACCCGCAUCCACAUGGCAUCCUGCCCGCUGAUCUCCCAGAGAGAGCGGUCCCCUCCCAAUGGGAGCCGUGAAGGUUGGAGCCGGUACCAAUAGUUCCGAACCGCGGUGAUCACACCUGUUCUGCGGGAAGCUGUGCACAGGUGAGCGGGUCACGGGUGACAGCGCCGCCUGUUUUUAUUGCUCCAUAAAAACCUGGGAGAAGCCUGCGGGCCCGGGGCCCCUGAAUACCGCCACCUGCAGGCCCGGAUGUUCACGUCUCAGUCUGGUGCAGAACCCACAGAACCGGUCGGGAGUCAUGUGUGGACCCUGUCAAACUCCAAACUCCCCCUUGGGUUUAUUCAGAAAUAAAAACACUUUCAAAACUUUGUGUCUGUAAACUAACACCUAGAGCUUUUACUUUGAAAAGUAAAUUAUGUUGUUGCUGUUGUUGUUGUUGCUGCUGCUGCUGCUGUGCUUUUCUCUCUCUCUCUUUCUCCCCUCACCGUAAUCGGUAGAGGCAAAUGACCGCCCACAUCCAGCCUGGUUCAGCUGGAGGUUUCUUCUUCGUUAGAGAGGGAGUUUAUCCUCUCCUCUGUUGCUGUCAAAAAAUGUUCAGAUUAAUAGAAUCCUUUAUAGGCUGGAAUAUUUUAAGGCAUUUUUUAGUCAUGUUUUGUGGUUUAUUAAUAAUUUAAUUUGACUUCUAUUUAGGAAUGUUCUAUCUGCAAAAAUUAAGAAAUUAUAAGAAAACACUGAUUAAAAACUCGAGUCAGUUUGA